GGGCCCGCACAAGCGGUGGAGCAUGUGGUUUAAUUCGAUGAUACGCGAGGAACCUUACCAGGGCUUAAAUGUAGGAUGCAUUAGCUAGAGAUAGCUAUUUCUUCGGACUUCUUACAAGGUGCUGCAUGGUUGUCGUCAGCUCGUGCCGUGAGGUGUCAGGUUAAGUCCUAUAACGAGCGCAACCCCUAUUUUUAGUUGCCAGCAUUUAGUUGGGCACUCUAGAGAGACUGCCGGUGAUAAACCGGAGGAAGGUGUGGAUGACGUCAAGUCAUCAUGCCCCUUACAUCCUGGGCUACACACGUACUACAAUGCUACGGACAAAGGGCAGCAAGUUCGCGAGGACAAG
RNAcentral lists this ribosomal RNA (346 nucleotides) under uncultured bacterium. RNAcentral's name for it is "bacterial SSU rRNA". It matches the Rfam family "Bacterial small subunit ribosomal RNA", at positions 917 to 1267 of the family's 1533-position model. The record is from RNAcentral.